This 66-nucleotide transfer RNA is filed under the name Haematoloechus sp. CW13H. RNAcentral's name for it is "tRNA-His". Lineage: Eukaryota; Metazoa; Platyhelminthes; Trematoda; Plagiorchiida; Haematoloechidae. The record is from RNAcentral.
CUUGCAUAGGUUAAGUUAAGACCUUAGGCCUGUGGCGUUUAAAGUCUCUUUGGUCGGAGUGUGAGA